GAUGAACGCUGGCGGCGUGCCUAAUACAUGCAAGUCGAGCGAAGAGACGAGGAGCUUGCUCCUCGGACGUGAGCGGCGGGUGGGUGUAUAACACGUGGAUAACCUACCUAUAGGACUGCGAUAACCUCGAGAAACCGGAGCUAAUAGCGGAGAAUAUAUUGAACCACAGGGUUCAAUAGUUAGUGACGGCUUUGCUGUCCCUUAUAGAUGGAUCCGCGCCGCAUGAGCUAGUUGGUAAGGUAACGGCCUACCAAGGCAACGAUGCGUAGCCGACGUGAGAGGGUGAUCGGCCACACGGGAACUGAGACAGGGUCCAGACUACUACGGGAGGCAGCAGUAGGGAAUCUUCCGCAAUGGGCGAAAGCCUGACGGAGCAACGGCGCGUGAGUGAUGAAGGUCUUCGGAUCGUAAAACUCUGUUACUAGGGAAGAACAAAUGUGUAAGUAGCUAUGCAGGUCUUGACGGUACCUAAUAAGAAAGCAACGGCUAACUACGUG
RNAcentral lists this ribosomal RNA (497 nucleotides) under uncultured bacterium. Its description in RNAcentral is "partial 16S ribosomal RNA". It matches the Rfam family "Bacterial small subunit ribosomal RNA", at positions 28 to 507 of the family's 1533-position model. The record is from RNAcentral.